AAAAAGGAAAAAGAAAAAUAAUAAAAAAAGGAAUGAAAAAGUGCGAGAGAGCAUGGGUAUUGUUUGAACAAAUUCAGAGUAGAGCAGGUAACUGUUUUCGAAGGUACCAAAAACGCAUACACCAUUUACCACUAAUCUAUUUACUACUAAUCUCUCCAAGUGCAUUUUCCUUUUUCAAUUGGAAUUCCACUAUAUUCAAAUCUAUCCUCGUUACCCGAUCCUAACCAUUUUUCUCCGUUGAUGACCCAAUACACCCGAGAGGGAAUCACCCCACAGAUUCACACACCAUACGGUCCUUUUUGGCUGGCAACACUUCAUCACGCAUCAUACACAUACCACCACCAUUCUGUUAGGCAAAGACCGGAUGACCCCACCCAAUGAUUUUCCCAUCCUAACGACCCAAUACACACCACUACACACAGCCACAAUCAUCAGGGCACCUUCAAUGCCAACCAUCAAGCAUCUUCCACACCACCGAUUAGGCAUUCCUCCGUUGAUUCAUCAGACGCACCAUCAACCAAAAGAAAAAAUAAAUAAUAAGAACUUGAAUGCAAGCAUAGCGUAACAUAGGCUCAGGAUACCGUUUUCACCCCAUCAAAGCAACCACAAUUGAUCCCUUCAAUCAUCAAAUACAACAACAUACUCCUUCUAUCUGGGGGAAGGGGAUAAAAAAGCAGAAAAAAAAAAAACAACAGAGAAGACCAUUUUUUUUCCAUUACCUCCAACAGACCUCAUCACUCUCAAUCAACAGAAAAAACAGAAACGAUUUUUCUCCCUCACAACAUAACUAAAACCACUCUCCAUUGCCGUUAGCACCCACGAUCUUCAUCCGAGCCCUCUAUAUUCUUUGGGCAGCUUUUUUCUCGGGUCUUCAUCAUUAUCACAGCCUGAAGGCACCACUGAGGACACUACUCUGAUGGCAACUACCUUCAUCAUUCGCCAUUCUAUUACAUUACAAGAUUCUCCACUCCUCUGGCCUUCCGAAACCAAUUCCUCCAUUUUUCACGCAACAAAGAUCACCUUCACCAUUCACAAUCACCCAUUCUCAUCCGUAGCCACCUCAACUAUCUUUCCUUUUUCUCUACCAAUUCCUCCUUCUCGACACAAAAUUCUACCAGAACCCUUCCACCAACACAUCCCCAUUAUCAUCUCCUCAUUACACCCCUGCUCCGAGCUUCCCUGCAUUGAAAAUACAGAAGAGAACAAACCAAUAUUCCAGCCCAAAACCCCUCACACACAAACC
RNAcentral lists this long non-coding RNA (1243 nucleotides) under Vigna radiata. RNAcentral's name for it is "long non-coding RNA (VRAD_LNC008162)". The record is from RNAcentral. Lineage: Eukaryota; Viridiplantae; Streptophyta; Magnoliopsida; Fabales; Fabaceae.